Long non-coding RNA from Zingiber officinale, 400 nucleotides. RefSeq lists it as uncharacterized. The transcript is spliced from 3 exons. The record is from RefSeq and is a predicted model, not a curated record. Lineage: Eukaryota; Viridiplantae; Streptophyta; Magnoliopsida; Zingiberales; Zingiberaceae.
UUGGGAUCGUGAUAUACAUAUUGUAUUGAGGGAAGAUUUUAGAACUGAGGAAUUUUGUUUGGUUGCUAUAGAGUAACAUAUUUCAAGUCUGAACAUGUUUGGGAUGAGAAAGUGAAGCCCCAAUCUUACUGUCGAGAACUACAGCCAAAUCAGGAUUACGUACUCCGAUAUGGAAAUAUCCUGUUAAUCAAAGGGAUGAAAUUAGACGAGCUUAUAUUAAGAUGGGGCCAUAUCAGCCUAUUAAGAAUGAGUAUCCACCGACCAAAUUCGGAAGUCAAAAUCGACGAUUUCAAAGUCAUUGGUUUAAAAAAUUUACUUGGUUAGAGUAUUCUCCUUCAAAAGAUGCUGCAUUUUGUUUUCCAUGCUUCUUGUUUGAUCAUAAGCAUCCUCGUAAUCCUGC